RNAcentral lists this ribosomal RNA (426 nucleotides) under uncultured bacterium. RNAcentral's name for it is "bacterial SSU rRNA". It matches the Rfam family "Bacterial small subunit ribosomal RNA", at positions 357 to 776 of the family's 1533-position model. The record is from RNAcentral.
GGGAAUUUUGGACAAUGGGGGCAACCCUGAUCCAGCCAUUCCGCGUGAGUGAAGAAGGCCUUCGGGUUGUAAAGCUCUUUUGUUCGGGACGAAACGGUUACGGUUAAUAACCUUGACUAAUGACGGUACCGGAAGAAUAAGCACCGGCUAACUACGUGCCAGCAGCCGCGGUAAUACGUAGGGUGCGAGCGUUAAUCGGAAUUACUGGGCGUAAAGCGUGCGCAGGCGGUUUUAUAAGCCAGAUGUGAAAUCCCCGGGCUCAACCUGGGAAUGGCAUUUGGACUGUAAGACUAGAGUAUGGCAGAGGAGACUAGAAUUCCUGGUGUAGCAGUGAAAUGCGUAGAUAUCAGGAGGAAUACCGAUGGCGAAGGCAAUCCCCUGGACCUGUACUGACGCUCAUGCACGAAAGCGUGGGGAGCAAACAGG